UAAUGUAUGGGGAUCUGCCCGAUAGAGGGGAACAACUACUGGAAACGGUGGCUAAUACCGCAUAAUGUCUACGGACCAAAGCAGGGGCUCUUCGGACCUUGCACUAUCGGAUGAACCCAUAUGGGAUUAGCUAGUAGGUGGGGUAAAGGCUCACCUAGGCGACGAUCUCUAGCUGGUCUGAGAGGAUGAUCAGCCACACUGGGACUGAGACACGGCCCAG
Molecule: ribosomal RNA, 220 nt
Filed under: uncultured bacterium
Lineage: Bacteria
Description: partial 16S ribosomal RNA
Rfam family: Bacterial small subunit ribosomal RNA
Source: RNAcentral